AUCCAAAUGCCCACUAAACAGAUUUCUUUUCAAAAUGUCUGGUGUUAAUGAGCUUGAUUCGAUAGAACCUAAUGAAUGGGUUGUGGAAAAUUACAAUCUUUUUCUUUUGGGAAUAGUCUCACUUUGUAGCCCCACCCUGGCCUUGAAGUCACUUCAAAGCCUGUGCUGGUGUCAAACUAGUUAUCCUCCUGCCUCAGUCUCCCGAGAGAAUUGCAAUCCUAUUAUGUCAAUUUCUGUGUUAGUACAGAGACAUUCUGAGGACCUGUUUCUUCUGCUUCUUGGCCAGCAGAUUGCCCUUGCCACUUGCUUCUGUUUACGUCUGCUUCUGUGAUGCCAGCUCCCACUUCUGUCAAAGACCUAUGUCACCUUCCAACUCCCGAGGUUGACCUGGGUAAAACCACGGAGGAUCUACUAUAACAUCUAAACUACACACAGAAGUUCUGUGUUGGCACAGAGAAAAGACUUAUAUGUGGGGUCUGUUCUUCUGACAAAAGGCUUACUGCUUAAACUGCCAACAGACGAGCCCUGUACGGGGCCAGGAGUUAUUUGCUAUCCCCAGAUUCCAUCAUUUAGCUGUGUGUGACCCAAGUCACACAUCCCAUCAAUCAAUUAUCUCAUGGACCAAGAGAAGAUCAUCUUCUUAUGAACAUGGGAGAAUCCCCCAGUGAAGCCUUGCCUACCUUUGCAUAGGCUUUUGUAGGAGUUUGGUGAUCUUCCAGAACUGGACUCAGCACAACCUUGUAGAAUGUAUUGUAAUACAAGCCAGUGAGGAGCUUCCUGCCUUCGGAUUAAUGAUGCUCAAAGCAGGGAAGAAAAGAAAGUCUGGCCAACAGAAGUAAGUUAUUGGCAAACCAUACCAAGAGCUUGUCUGUGAGUCUGCAACAGACUCCCUGGGCACCAGGCCUGCUGGAAGGAAGGGGUAAGUUCAGGCCAGGUGCUUUUUUAAGCUAUGCCCACCCACAGUCCUCUCUAUCCUCACCCGCAGAGUUGAUUCUGGGAUCCUUGCUGCUACAGGGAGAGACACCCUACUGGGAAUCUGUAAAUAGGUGCCCCAGAGUCCAGGAAAACGGCAGGUGUCAAUCUCAUCCCCCCAUGGAAGUUGCAGACCAGGCUGUCAGGCCCCUGCCACAUCAGAGGGGUGCUGGUGGCAUCACAUCUCCCACCCGCAUGAUAGGCACGCUUUAACUAUGCUCCUCCCCAUCCUCAGAGUUAGAGGUCCCUGCUCCAGAAUUCCCUCCCUUGUCUCUGCUGCCCAGGAGUCAGACACGGCCUGACUUCGUGCAAGUACCCCCUUUCCUCUGAGACUUAUAAGGGGCCCUCAAUCGGCUGCAUGGAUUUUUUUCAACUCUCAUCAGAGUCCCCAUUAUGCUGCUGUUGUCUGUCUGUCUGUCCACGGAAUUAACAAAUCAUCGAAUAGCUCUCUGAGGACAGUCUGCCUCAGUGUUCCCAUUGAGCCCUAAGCCUGAGACCCUUCAGAGACCUCAAAGAAGAAGGUCUGGCAGCUUGAGACACAGGCCCAUCCGGCUUUUUGGCUUUUUCUCUUGAUAGUAGGGCCCCCUGCCCAUGGACUACUUGGCAAGUUCAAGGCUGGACUAGAACACGUUUACCUAAAGUUUCAACUUCCCUGUCUUUGUUUAAAUUGACCAAUCCUAAAUAAAGGGGAGAAGACCCCCUUCCCAACCCAUCAAAGACCCUUAAAACAUCUAGUCCUCAAGGAGAGACCAGACAUUGGCUUCCUUGGGAUCUUUUUCUUUGUGUGCCUUGCUCUGUGUGUUUCCUAAUCAUGAGAUAGGGUCUUCCUCUGUAACCCUGGUUGGACUAGAACUUACCUUGUAGACCAGGCAACAGGCAGCUCACAGAGAUCUGCCUCUGCUGGCAUUAAAGCCCUAUAUCAUCAUACCUGGCACCCUCACAUUUAAUAAAAGUCUCUCUCUUCACCAGUUGAUACUGUCUGCUGCAUCUGAGAUUUUCUACUACCUGUUGGGGAAGUAUUUUCUGCCCCUUUACUUCUUUAACUGGCAGAGAAAAUGAAUGAGAUAAAAAUCCCUAGGUUCCCUAGGGCCUAGAAGGUAACAUUAUGACCUGAACUAAUUCUUGAGAACACACACGGUGGAAGGAGAGAACCAGCUCCUGCAAUUUGUCCUCUGACCCCCUGCCUCCACACAAAUGUAAUUUAAAAUAAAAAACCGAUACCACACAAGUCAAAUCUCACCAAAUACAAACAUUGAUUUAAUUGUUCAUCUUUUUUUAAAAAAAGUAUAAUAAAACUAGAAAUCAGUAGUAAGCGAAGCUACAGAAAUUGUACAGAUACUUGGAGACCCAUCAAUAGACUCUUGAAUGACCAGUGGUUAUUGAAGACCUUAAGGAGGAAAUUUGAAAGUUUCUACAUUUAGAAGAAAAUGAACAACUUAGGAAAGCAUUUGGGACAUAACUAAGUGUCCUAAGAGGAAAUUUCAUAGACAUGAGAGUUAACAUUAAAAAAAAAAAAUCAGGAAGAUCUCAGAUAACCUACUACUGCACUUCAAAGUCCCAAAACACCAGAACAAAUCUAAUUCUAAAGGCAGAAACAGCAAGAGACAAUAAAGAUCAGAGCAGAAGUUAAAGAAAUACAGACUGAGAGAACAAUACACAGAAUCAAUUUGAACAGAUACUUCUUUGAAAAUAUACAAUCAACAAAUCUCUAGCCAAACUAACUAAAAGGAUAGAGAAGACCCAAAUUAAUACAUUCAGAGAUUAAGUGGGUGGUGGGGGUGUUCACUCUAGAUUCCAGUGAGAAACACAAAAUCUUUCGGAAGUACCUUGAAAACUUAUAUUCAUCUGAACUGGAAAACCCAGAAGAAAUGGCUGCAUUUCUAGCCAUAUAGGAGCUACCAAAAGAAAAUCAAGAUAUAAACAACUUUAGCAAAUCCAUGACAAUCAAGAAGACUGAAGAAGUAAUAAAAAAAACCCUCCAUGUAAACAGAAUUCCAGGACCAGAUCUUUAAAGAAGAGCUAAUACUAAUGCUCCUUAAACUGUUCCAUAAAAUAGAGAAGGGGCUGGAAAGAUGGCUCAGCAGUUAAGAGCACUUGCUGCUUGCUCUUCCAGAGGACCCGAGUUCAGGUUCCAGCACCAUGUCAGGUGGUUCACAACUGCAUGUAAGUCCAGCUUCAAGGGAUCUGAUACCCUCUUCUGGCCUCCAUGGGUACCCACACUAGCAUUUUCUCCCUCCCUCUCCACCCCCCAAAUAAUACAAGUAAAUACAAAUGUAAAACAGAAAGAGAAGUAACACUGCUGAACUCUUCUGAAACCAAUAUCACUCCAAUACCCAAACUAGACAAAGACACAACAAAAAAGGAACUAUUAUUGACCAAUUUCCCUGAUGAACACAGAUGGAAAAUUCUCAAUAAAAUUCUUGCAAAUCAAGUUCAAGAACACUUUAGGAAGAUCAUUCUAAGAUCACACUGUGACUAAGCUGGUUUUAUUCCAGGGAUGCAAAUUUGGCUCAACAUAUGUAAAUCAGUAAGUGUACAUAAAUAGACUUAAGGUCCAUCAGUCUCCAUCAAUGCAGAAAACACUAUCAAAAAGUUGAAUAACUGUUGACGAUGAAAGCCUUGAAGAUACUAGGAUUAGAAGGAAUAUACUUCAACACAAUCAAUGCUACAUUAUGACAAACCCGUAACCACCAUUGUACUGAAUGGGGCAACACUGAGAAAGUUUCUUCUAAAAUCUGAAUGAGACAAGUGUAAAGUCUAUGCUAUCCAUUCUCAUUAAAUAUAUAAUUCUUAAAGCUCUAGCUAGAGCAAUAAGCCAAGAGGAGUAAACAGAAGGUACACUAAUAGAAAAGGAAGAAUUGAAAUCACCCAUUUGCAGAUGAAUCCUAUACAUAAAAGACUAAAUAUUCCAGCAGAAAACUCUUAGGACUGAUGAACAAUUUCAUCAGGGGAUCAGGAUAAAUUCAACAUACCAAAAAAAAAAAAAAAUCAGUAGUAAGCCUGGUGAGAUAGCCCAGUGGGUAGUGCUUGCCAUGCCCUUAGGAGAACACAAAUUUGCACCCCUCGAACUCACGUAUAGAGCUAAUGUGCACAGCACCAGAACCUGUAACCCAAGUGCUCCCACAGGGAAAUGGGAAAUGGAGACAGGGGAAUUCACAGAAACUUGAGAGCCAGCUAGUCUGGUGUGUGCAGUGUAGAAAACAGCAGACUGUCAAAACGAGGAGGAAGUCGAGGCAAGGAUGCAUACCCGAAAAUGUCUCUCCCCUUUGUCAACACAAAAGCACAACUCUCACCAAAAAGGGGGACAAGAGGUAGUUUAUCCUGGAGCCAAAUACGACUGACUAUGGCCAGCGAUACGUUCCAACAUGUUUCAUGAACUUUUUAAACUAACAGAAGGAAGAAAGUCACAGUACAUUGGUGGUAUGAUUCUGAAAGUCACAGUACAUUGGUGGUAUGAUUCUGAAAGUCACAGUGCAUUGGUGAUAUGAUUCUGAAAGUCACAGUACAUUGGUGGUAUGAUUCUGAAAGUCACAGUACAUUGGUGGUAUGAUUCUGAAAGUCACAGUACAUUGGUGGUAUGAUUCUGAAAGUCACAGUACAUUGGUGGUAUGAUUCUGAAAGUCACAGUGCAUUGGUGAUAUGAUUCUGAAAGUCACAGUACAUUGGUGGUAUGAUUCUGAAAGUCACAGUACAUUGGUGGUAUGAUUCUGAAAGUCACAGUGCAUUGGUGGUAUGAUUCUGAAAGUCACAGUGCAUUGGUGGUAUGAUUCUGAAAGUCACAGUGCAUUGGUGGUAAGAUUCUGAAAGUCACAGUGCAUUGGUGGUAUGAUUCUGAAAGUCACAGUGCAUUGGUGGUAUGAUUCUGAGAGUCACAGUGCAUUGGUGGUAUGAUUCUGAGAGUCACAGUGCAUUGGUGGUAUGAUUCUGAGAGUCACAGUGCAUUGGUGGUAUGAUUCUGAGAGUCACAGUGCAUUGGUGGUAUGAUUCUGAGAGUCACAGUGCAUUGGUGGUAUGAUUCUGAGAGUCACAGUGCAUUGGUGGUAUGAUUCUGAAAGUCACAGUGCAUUGGUGGUAUGAUUCUGCGGGCGAGGCGGUGUCCCUUUCCUCCCUCAUCUUCCAUGGUAAUUCUCUUUCAGCUGAUUCCAGGCAUCUCACUUGGCCUUGACUUCGAGGUCCGGUACUCCAGGCCAUUCUGCGUUUAUGUCUCCACAACUGCUUGUUUGAGUAGCUUAUAUGAGCACCACCUCAUUGAUGAGCCGGCUGGAACUUCCUCGGCAGCUUUGUCAAACCUCAGCCUGAGACAUGCUAGAGAUUCCUAGGAGUCCCAGAGCUGGCUGAGGAUGCAAGAAGCAAGAUCUGAUAGUUCAAAGGUUUGGGCAGGGGGCGGAAGAGAUGGUUCAGUAGUAAGAGUACUUGCCCUUCUAGAAGAUGAGAAUUGAGUUCCAGCACCCACAUAGGGUGACUCCUAACCACUUUACAGCUCUGAGUGGAUCUGAUGCCUCUGACCUCUGAUGGUGUCUGCGCGCGAGCGCGCAUGCACACACAUACAUGCACACAAAUUAAAAAAUAAAAAUAAAUCUUAAAAAACGUUUGUGCAAAGACAUGUACCUGUAUAACCAACACCUCAGACAUGGAGCAUGUUCAUCAUUGCCCUUUCUGAAGCAAUGCCUGCCCUCACUGCUCAGAUCAUCCACCGGUCCAGUUUUUUUCACCAUAGGCUGUGUUGGUCUGUCUUAAAGCUUCAUGUAAAUGGUUUCACAUAGAUGAUAAAUACUCCUUUUGUGUUGUUUUCUUGGUUUGACAAGUUAUUUAGAUUUAUUCAUGUUUGGAGAGUUUCAAGAGCUCAUUCCAUUUAAAGCAGUUUUCUUUGUAUUUUAUUAAAUGUCAGAAUUUCUUUAUCCAUUCUCUUUUGGGGGAGGAGUAUUAAACUGAGUUCUAUUUGUUA
Molecule: long non-coding RNA, 5917 nt
Organism: Peromyscus californicus insignis
Lineage: Eukaryota; Metazoa; Chordata; Mammalia; Rodentia; Cricetidae
Exons: 3
Source: RefSeq, a predicted model, not a curated record